GAUGAAGAACGCAGUGAAAUGCGAUAAGUAAUGUGAAUUGCAGAAUUCAGUGAAUCAUCGAAUCUUUGAACGCACAUUGCGCCCGCCAGUAUUCUGGCGGGCAUGCCUGUUCGAGCGUCAUUACAACCCUCAGGCCCCCGGGCCUGGCGUUGGGGAUCGGCGGAGCCCCCCGUGGGCACACGCCGUCCCCCAAAUACAGUGGCGGUCCCGCCGCAGCUUCCAUCGCGUAGUAGCUAACACCUCGCGACUGGAGAGCGGCGCGGCCACGCCGUAAAACACCCAACUCUUCUGAAGUUGACCUCGAAUUAGGUAGGAAUACCCGCUGAACUUAAGCAUAUCAAUAAGCGGAGGA
RNAcentral lists this unclassified non-coding RNA (352 nucleotides) under soil metagenome. Its description in RNAcentral is "partial contains 5.8S ribosomal RNA, internal transcribed spacer 2, and large subunit ribosomal RNA". The stretch from base 1 to 120 matches the Rfam family "5.8S ribosomal RNA", at positions 35 to 154 of the family's 154-position model. The record is from RNAcentral.